Molecule: ribosomal RNA, 253 nt
Filed under: uncultured bacterium
Lineage: Bacteria
Description: partial 16S ribosomal RNA
Rfam family: Bacterial small subunit ribosomal RNA
Source: RNAcentral
UACGUAGGUGGCAAGCGUUGUCCGGAUUUACUGGGCGUAAAGAGCGCGCAGGCGGUCGGAUCAGUCGAAUGUGAAAGCCCCCGGCUCAACUGGGGAGGGUCAUUCGAUACUGUCCGACUCGAAGGCAGGAGAGGGAAGCGGAAUUCCCGGUGUAGUGGUGAAAUGCGUAGAUAUCAGGAGGAACACCGGUGGCGAAGGCGGCUUGCUGGGCCUUACCUGACGCUGAGGAGCGAAAGCGUGGGGAGCGAACAGG